Molecule: ribosomal RNA, 739 nt
Filed under: uncultured archaeon
Lineage: Archaea
Description: bacterial SSU rRNA
Rfam family: Archaeal small subunit ribosomal RNA
Source: RNAcentral
GCGAGUUGAGAGGGGUAAGCCCUCGGCAUAUUGCUCAGUAACACGCGGAUAACCUGCCCUUGGGUUCGGGAUAACCCCGGGAAACUGGGACUAAUACCGGAUAGAUCAAAGAAACUGGAAUGUUCUCUGGUCAAAAACUCUGGUGCCCAAGGAUGGGUCUGCGGCCUAUCAGGUAGUAGUGGGUGUAACGUACCUACUAGCCUACGACGGGUAAGGGUUGUGAGAGCAAGAGCCCUGAGAUGGAUUCUGAGACAUGAAUCCAGGCCCUACGGGGUGCAGCAGGCGCGAAAACUUUACACUGCGGGAAACCGCGAUAAGGGGACCCCGAGUGCCAGCACCUAGUGCUGGCUGUCCAGCUGUCCAAAUAACAGUUGUUAGCAAGGGCCGGGCAAGACCGGUGCCAGCCGCCGCGGUAACACCGGCGGCCCGAGUGGUAGCCGUUAUUAUUGGGUUUAAAGGGUCCGUAGCCGGCCUAUUAAGUCUCUUGGGAAAUCUGGCGACUCAAUCGUCAGGCGUCCAAGAGAUACUGGUAGGCUUGGGACCGGGAGAGGUGGGAGGUACUCCAGGGGUAGGGGUGAAAUCUCGUAAUCCUUGGGGGACCACCGAUGGCGAAGGCAUCCCACCAGAACGGGUCCGACGGUGAGGGACGAAAGCUGGGGGCACGAACCGGAUUAGAUACCCGGGUAGUCCCAGCCGUAAACGAUGCUCGCUAGGUGUCAGGUGCGGUGCGACCGCAUCU